GAGGAAAAGAAACUAACAAGGAUUCCCCUAGUAGCGGCGAGCGAAGCGGGAAGAGCUCAAAUUUAUAAUCUGGCACCUUCGGUGUCCGAGUUGUAAUCUCUAGAAGUGUUUUCCGCGUUGGACCGCACACAAGUCUGUUGGAAUACAGCGGCAUAGUGGUGAGACCCCCGUAUAUGGUGCGGACGCCCAACGCUUUGUGAUACACUUUCGAAGAGUCGAGUUGUUUGGGAAUGCAGCUCAAAUUGGGUGGUAAAUUCCAUCUAAAGCUAAAUAUUGGCGAGAGACCGAUAGCGAACAAGUACCGUGAGGGAAAGAUGAAAAGCACUUUGGAAAGAGAGUUAACAGUACGUGAAAUUGUUGGAAGGGAAACGCUUGAAGUCAGACUUGCUUGCCGAGCAAUCGGUUUGCAGGCCAGCAUCAGUUUUCCGGGGUGGAUAAUGGUAGAGAGAAGGUAGCAGUUUCGGCUGUGUUAUAGCUCUUUGCUGGAUACACCUUGGGGGACUGAGGAACGCAGUGUGCCUUACGGCGGAUUUCUCGAGAUCUUCACACUUAGGAUGCUGGUGGAAUGGCUUUAAACGACCCGUCU
This 586-nucleotide ribosomal RNA is filed under the name Rhodotorula sp. Its description in RNAcentral is "partial large subunit ribosomal RNA". It matches the Rfam family "Eukaryotic large subunit ribosomal RNA", at positions 53 to 654 of the family's 3401-position model. Lineage: Eukaryota; Fungi; Basidiomycota; Microbotryomycetes; Sporidiobolales; Sporidiobolaceae. The record is from RNAcentral.